UACGUAGGGUGCGAGCGUUGUUCGGAAUUACUGGGCGUAAAGGGCUCGUAGGCGGCCGACUAAGUCAGACGUGAAAUCCCCCGGCUUAACCGGGGAACUGCGUCUGAUACUGGACGGCUUGAAUUCGGGAGAGGGAUGCGGAAUUCCAGGUGUAGCGGUGAAAUGCGUAGAUAUCUGGAGGAACACCGGUGGCGAAGGCGGCAUCCUGGACCGACAUUGACGCUGAGGAGCGAAAGCCAGGGGAGCAAACGGG
Molecule: ribosomal RNA, 253 nt
Filed under: uncultured bacterium
Lineage: Bacteria
Description: partial 16S ribosomal RNA
Rfam family: Bacterial small subunit ribosomal RNA
Source: RNAcentral